ACGUUAAAGACGAUUCCAAAGUGGAUUCAGGUUAUGACUGGGAUGCUGACAUGAUGAGAGGAAUUACAUCAUUUACAAGCAUUGUUGGAUGACGUCUAUUAUGGAGUAUCCACAAGACAACGGACCGCCUGCCGCCGUAGGUCAAUGUGAACGUGGGGCCGUGGGCGCUGGUAGCGCACCGGUGCCUGUGUAGGACAAGGGCCGGGGAGAGGUGUAAGUGGAAGACGAGACACCUCUCCCGCGUGUGCUACCAGAAUCGAGAUGUUUACACGGCGGAAGAGAUACUCAAAAUGGUAAACAGAAGGCGGCCGAGGUGUCAGGCUUUGACCCUUAAAGGGCUGCAGUGUAGCCGUGAUGCUACGAGGCAGUAUGUUAUUCAAUACUGCACCCAACACUAUUAAGUAGAAUAUGAGGGACCUAUUGAAGCAUAGCUGAGGAAUAGAAGGAGUCCCUCAGGAAUAGCAGGAAGGCUAGGUGAGAAAGUGCGUCGUUAUCGAAGAUAACCACUUCCUCCUUACUGAGGAAGUUCAUCUCACAAGCAAACAACAUUCAAGAGAAGCCUGCCAGCCAAACAGACUCAUCAUCCCUGUUCAGCUCAUCUCACAA
This is a long non-coding RNA of Strongylocentrotus purpuratus (purple sea urchin), 606 nucleotides long. RefSeq lists it as uncharacterized. The transcript is spliced from 5 exons. NCBI's taxonomy places the organism in Eukaryota, Metazoa, Echinodermata, Echinoidea, Camarodonta, Strongylocentrotidae. The record is from RefSeq and is a predicted model, not a curated record.